RNAcentral lists this ribosomal RNA (711 nucleotides) under Streptomyces griseus subsp. griseus. RNAcentral's name for it is "bacterial SSU rRNA". It matches the Rfam family "Bacterial small subunit ribosomal RNA", at positions 12 to 740 of the family's 1533-position model. Lineage: Bacteria; Bacillati; Actinomycetota; Actinomycetes; Kitasatosporales; Streptomycetaceae. The record is from RNAcentral.
UUUGAUCCUGGCUCAGGACGAACGCUGGCGGCGUGCUUAACACAUGCAAGUCGAACGAUGAAGCCUUUCGGGGUGGAUUAGUGGCGAACGGGUGAGUAACACGUGGGCAAUCUGCCCUUCACUCUGGGACAAGCCCUGGAAACGGGGUCUAAUACCGGAUAACACUCUGUCCCGCAUGGGACGGGGUUAAAAGCUCCGGCGGUGAAGGAUGAGCCCGCGGCCUAUCAGCUUGUUGGUGGGGUAAUGGCCUACCAAGGCGACGACGGGUAGCCGGCCUGAGAGGGCGACCGGCCACACUGGGACUGAGACACGGCCCAGACUCCUACGGGAGGCAGCAGUGGGGAAUAUUGCACAAUGGGCGAAAGCCUGAUGCAGCGACGCCGCGUGAGGGAUGACGGCCUUCGGGUUGUAAACCUCUUUCAGCAGGGAAGAAGCGAAAGUGACGGUACCUGCAGAAGAAGCGCCGGCUAACUACGUGCCAGCAGCCGCGGUAAUACGUAGGGCGCAAGCGUUGUCCGGAAUUAUUGGGCGUAAAGAGCUCGUAGGCGGCUUGUCACGUCGGAUGUGAAAGCCCGGGGCUUAACCCCGGGUCUGCAUUCGAUACGGGCUAGCUAGAGUGUGGUAGGGGAGAUCGGAAUUCCUGGUGUAGCGGUGAAAUGCGCAGAUAUCAGGAGGAACACCGGUGGCGAAGGCGGAUNUNUNGGCCAUUAC